UAAUAAAUUUUUUAUAACCGUGUAAAGUAUAUUGAGUUUAUAUCUUUUUCUUUUAUCAAACAUAAUUCCUCACCCAUCGUUCCCAGCAUCCUCGACACCCAAACCCUAAAUUUCAAAUUUUUUCUUCCUCAGACGCAACAAGGAAUACUGAAAGCUAUCGAACUAUCAAAGGGUCAAUCAUCAUGUCUUCGUCUCUCAUCUAUUGUAAAAGCAGGUCGAUUUCUUUUGCCAUCAAAGACCCAUAAGAAUUGACACACGAUUCUGGUCUGUCAAUAGAAGGGAAGAUUCAUUCAUCUUCAAUAAAAGGACACGGGAGUAUGCUUAAUAGCUUUUUAUCCUGAUGGUUAGGGGGUAAAUUUUAUUGGGAAAUUUUGAUUAUAUUUAGACUAAAGAUGUAUCAGAAUAAAGAAAAAGAUGUCAUUCUGCAAAGCUCAUGUAUUGCAAGUGUUUUCAUGGGAACCUAUUAUUUAUAAUGACACUGUUGAUAUGGGAUAGACAACUUGAUGAUAUUUGCAUUCACAUGGCAAACUUUUGCGGUGCUCGCACUAUCCAAACUCCACCGAAACUCUGUUGGAGUUUGAGCCACAGAUAUAUCGGUAAGACCCAUUAUUGUUUCGAUCAGUUCUCACUUUUAGUUUUUAACUUGAGCAUACUAACUGUCUACUAUAAUUAUAGAUUUAGAUUGCAUAUUCUGCACCCAUAUUAUUAAGUAGCGAAGAUUUGUUUUUAGAUGUGCAUAGUAUUUUGGUUCUUUGUUAGCCCAUAUUCUUAGUGGUAGUUUGUGUCAGCUUAAUGAGCCAUAUGGGAUGUCUUGGAUCUCAAUAAUGAUGAAAUCACAAAGAAUAGGCAUAUUUUUGGAUUAACUUAGGACUGACUUUUGGUUUUUUCAGCAUGUCUCAUAAUGAGUGGAAAGACAUAAAGAAUACAUAUAUUGACCGUGAUGAGUAUCUACUUGCAAUGAAGUAAUUACUCCUGUUAAAUAUGUCAUGGAGGUUUUCUACUUUUAAUAUAUGUAGUUUAGAAAUGUUUAGAGAAGAAUUUGACAAGUUUUUACGAUUUACAAUGGAAUGUAAUAUUACCUAUUUUGUUCCUUUCUACUUCUCACAAUUAGAUUUGUAUUUAACUUAACAAGAUUUAACGCUUAUAUUGAAGAGAGAAUUAUGGUAGUGAUGUUUUCUUCACUGCCCAUUCCAACCUUGAAUGUUAUAAUCUGUAGAAUUCACUUUCA
Long non-coding RNA from Vicia villosa (hairy vetch), 1228 nucleotides. RefSeq lists it as uncharacterized. The transcript has 3 exons. The record is from RefSeq and is a predicted model, not a curated record. Lineage: Eukaryota; Viridiplantae; Streptophyta; Magnoliopsida; Fabales; Fabaceae.